RNAcentral lists this transfer RNA (111 nucleotides) under Hypoxylon sp. FL0543. Its description in RNAcentral is "tRNA-Leu". It matches the Rfam family "tRNA". From Rfam's summary of the family: Transfer RNA (tRNA) molecules are approximately 80 nucleotides in length. Their secondary structure includes four short double-helical elements and three loops (D, anti-codon, and T loops). Lineage: Eukaryota; Fungi; Ascomycota; Sordariomycetes; Xylariales; Hypoxylaceae. The record is from RNAcentral.
GGGAGUUUGGCCGAGUGGUUAAGGCGUUGUGUUUAGGUCUUCUCAAGAAGAACAUCUUGAACCUUUGACCCGCAAUGGGAAACCGCGCAGGUUCGAAUCCUGCAGCUCUCA